This 253-nucleotide ribosomal RNA is filed under the name uncultured bacterium. RNAcentral's name for it is "partial 16S ribosomal RNA". It matches the Rfam family "Bacterial small subunit ribosomal RNA", at positions 524 to 776 of the family's 1533-position model. The record is from RNAcentral.
UACGUAGGGGGCAAGCGUUGUCUGGAUUUAUUGGGCGUAAAGAGCGUGUAGGCGGCUUUACAGGUCCGUUGUGAAAACUCGAGGCUCAACCUCGAGACGCCGGUGGAAACCGUAAGGCUAGAGUCCGGAAGAGGAGAGUGGAAUUCCUGGUGUAGCGGUGAAAUGCGCAGAUAUCAGGAAGAACACCCGUGGCGAAGGCGGUUCUCUGGGACGGUACUGACGCUGAGGCGCGAAAGCCAGGGGAGCAAACGGG